UACGUAGGGGGCUAGCGUUAUCCGGAAUUACUGGGCGUAAAGGGCGUGUAGGCGGUAGAUUAAGUCAGGUGUGAAAGUCCACGGCUCAACCGUGGAAUUGCAUUUGAAACUGGUUUACUUGAGUGCAGGAGAGGAGAGCGGAAUUCCUAGUGUAGCGGUGAAAUGCGUAGAUAUUAGGAAGAACACCAGUGGCGAAGGCGGCUCUCUGGACUGUAACUGACGCUGAGAAGCGAAAGCGUGGGUAGCGAACAGGAUUAGAUACCCCGGUAGU
Molecule: ribosomal RNA, 271 nt
Filed under: uncultured prokaryote
Description: partial 16S ribosomal RNA
Rfam family: Bacterial small subunit ribosomal RNA
Source: RNAcentral